Molecule: ribosomal RNA, 189 nt
Filed under: Escherichia coli B83
Lineage: Bacteria; Pseudomonadati; Pseudomonadota; Gammaproteobacteria; Enterobacterales; Enterobacteriaceae
Description: partial 16S ribosomal RNA
Rfam family: Bacterial large subunit ribosomal RNA
Source: RNAcentral
UACGAGAGGACCGGAGUGGACGCAUCACUGGUGUUCGGGUUGUCAUGCCAAUGGCACUGCCCGGUAGCUAAAUGCGGAAGAGAUAAGUGCUGAAAGCAUCUAAGCACGAAACUUGCCCCGAGAUGAGUUCUCCCUGACCCUUUAAGGGUCCUGAAGGAACGUUGAAGACGACGACGUUGAUAGGCCGGG